Molecule: long non-coding RNA, 652 nt
Filed under: Canis lupus familiaris (dog)
Lineage: Eukaryota; Metazoa; Chordata; Mammalia; Carnivora; Canidae
Description: lncRNA (ENSCAFG00040024862.1)
Source: RNAcentral
GUCUUCGCGGCCCGGGGACCUCGGCGCCCUCCCUGGCAGAGCGGGCCUGGGCCCCUGACUGGUGUCCGACUUGCUCUUCCACUUCGACAGCCUGGGGCCUUAAGAGCCCCCCACCCCUCCUGCUGUUUCUGGAAGCGAGAAGCAGCCGGUGGGGGGGGCGUGGUCUCGUUUGCGGCGGCCCCAGCAGGAGCCGGAUCUCGGCGGCACCUCCGAGGGAUGCGCUCUGGCGAGCCCCGCCGCCCCUCCGGGAGCCCGAGCCUCCUCGCCCGCCACCCGCAGCCCGGGCUGAGCUCUGCGGCCGCGCCCCGGGCCUCUCGAGGCAGCAUCACCGAGGCCUGUGGUACCUCUCGGCUCCGGGCUGAGGUUGAGGUCGUUUGGUCAGGGAUGGAUUGGUUCGGUUUCCAGGUCCAGAUCACUGUCGGGAAUACCGUGUGCUUGUUGAAAGAGUAAGGUUCUCCUGUGACGCCCGGUACCUGGCUGGUUUAAAGAAUCUGGUGCAAAGCACAAAGGAUUGAUUGAAAUGCCCAACCUUUCUAAAGAAAAUGAAGUAGAUGACACCGAGGUGAGGGAUCUGCCAGUUUUUUUUUUUUUUUUUUAAUAAGUCAAGCUUCUACUGUGUAUACAUGGGGCAUUUGAAAAACCGUUUAAUAGA